ACCUCGGUAGCUUAGCGUUCAAAAGCACCGGGGCAUAAACCUGAAGACCUGGGUUCGAAUCCUAGUCGAGUGCG
Henosepilachna vigintioctopunctata is the source of this 74-nucleotide non-coding RNA. Lineage: Eukaryota; Metazoa; Arthropoda; Insecta; Coleoptera; Coccinellidae. The record is from the annotation of a GenBank genome assembly.